GACGAACGCUGGCGGCGUGCUUAACACAUGCAAGUCGAACGGAAAGGCCCCUUUGGGGGUACUCGAGUGGCGAACGGGUGAGUAACACGUGAGUAACCUGCCCUUGACUUCGGGAUAACUUCAGGAAACUGGGGCUAAUACCGGAUAGGAAUCCUUGCUGCAUGGUGGGGGUUGGAAAGCUUCGGCGGUUUUGGAUGGACUCGCGGCUUAUCAGCUUGUUGGUGGGGUAGUGGCUUACCAAGGCUUUGACGGGUAGCCGGCCUGAGAGGGCGACCGGCCACAUUGGGACUGAGAUACGGCCCAGACUCCUACGGGAGGCAGCAGGGGGGAAUAUUGCACAAUGGGCGGAAGCCUGAUGCAGCAACGCCGCGUGCGGGAUGACGGGCUUCGGGUUGUAAACCGCUUUCAGCAGGGGCGAAGCUUGUGGUGACGGUACCUGCAGAAGAAGCACCGGCUAACUACGUG
RNAcentral lists this ribosomal RNA (465 nucleotides) under uncultured bacterium. RNAcentral's name for it is "partial 16S ribosomal RNA". It matches the Rfam family "Bacterial small subunit ribosomal RNA", at positions 28 to 507 of the family's 1533-position model. The record is from RNAcentral.